AUGGAGGUUUUUUCUUGUGAUUCAUCCUCGUUUACGAUUUGAGAGAACGGAAUGUUUUCACUCUAUUCUUUUAUCUCCGAGGAUGGAGCCAUCACAAGAACAAAAUUGGAUCAGGGUUAGAUGGAGACGCUCAUUCCAUUUAUAUAUAUGAGUAGUGCUACCGUGCUAUCGAAAGUAUAGAGAAUUUGGUGCUUUCGACUUUUUAGUCCUUAAAUCAACCCUUUUGAUUAUUUCUAAUAUUUGGAUUAAUACUAUUAUCCUGUGGGGACCACUCAACUCUGGGGGACCGCAAUCAUCCCAAACAUACAAUUUUUGAUCAAAGGGUCAAAAAAUCGGAAGCAUCAAAUUCUCUAUACUUCCGAUAGUAUAAUAACUCUAUACUAUAUCUAUAAAACUAUAUGAAGCCAGAAUAAUUCUUACCACGUGGCAAGUUAUCUUUCAUCCCUCUUUGAAAGAACAAAAUGAGAAAUUUAAUAAUUAAUAACUGAUAUAAAUAUAUAAUCAUAAUAAUAACUAUAGUUUAAUAGAUA
Molecule: long non-coding RNA, 530 nt
Filed under: Ananas comosus (pineapple)
Lineage: Eukaryota; Viridiplantae; Streptophyta; Magnoliopsida; Poales; Bromeliaceae
Description: long non-coding RNA (ACOM_LNC027203)
Source: RNAcentral